UACGUAGGGUGCAAGCGUUAAUCGGAAUUACUGGGCGUAAAGCGUGCGCAGGCGGUUAUGUAAGACAGGUGUGAAAUCCCCGGGCUUAACCUGGGAACUGCAUUUGUGACUGCAUAGCUAGAGUACGGUAGAGGGGGAUGGAAUUCCGCGUGUAGCAGUGAAAUGCGUAGAUAUGCGGAGGAACACCGAUGGCGAAGGCAAUCCCCUGGACCUGUACUGACGCUCAUGCACGAAAGCAUGGGGAGCAAACAGG
This 253-nucleotide ribosomal RNA is filed under the name uncultured bacterium. Its description in RNAcentral is "partial 16S ribosomal RNA". It matches the Rfam family "Bacterial small subunit ribosomal RNA", at positions 524 to 776 of the family's 1533-position model. The record is from RNAcentral.